Hyaena hyaena (striped hyena) is the source of this 2058-nucleotide RNA transcript. It is a transcript of the gene named ectonucleoside triphosphate diphosphohydrolase 1, with no coding region annotated. The transcript has 12 exons. NCBI's taxonomy places the organism in Eukaryota, Metazoa, Chordata, Mammalia, Carnivora, Hyaenidae. The record is from RefSeq and is a predicted model, not a curated record.
GAGGCUUAGAGUGGCUGAGCAAUGAUGAGCUUGUCCGGCCUCUGCUGCAGCUUGAGCUACCCUUUAGAAGUCUGUGGAGUUUAGCAUUGUGCUCAUGGAUGAUGGUGACUAUUGGCUCUGCGACCCUUCAUGAUGAUGUUCUUUAAGCAAAGAUUCUCUGUUCCUGAUCCACCAUGGCCGGAAGGUAUAGAGAAGACCUCUGUUCCUGAUCCAUCAUGGCCGGAAGACUCUGGACUGAAGAAUUUUUGUUCCAGAAAUAUACUGAUCAUCCUUGGCUUCUCCUCUAUCAUUGCUGUGAUUGCUUUGAUUGCUGUGGCGUUGACCCAGAACAAACCAUUGCCAGAAAAUGUUAAGUAUGGGAUUGUGCUGGAUGCAGGCUCUUCUCACACAAGUUUGUACAUCUAUAAGUGGCCAGCGGAAAAGGAGAAUGACACAGGGGUGGUACACCAGAUAGAAGAAUGCAAGCUGAAAGGUCCCGGAAUCUCAAGAUAUGCUCAAAGAGUAAAUGAAAUAGAUGCUUAUCUGACUGAAUGCAUGGAAAGAGCCAGUCAAGUGAUUCCACAGUCCCAGCACCAAGGGACGCCUGUUUACCUGGGAGCUACGGCAGGCAUGAGGUUGCUCAGGAUGGAAAAUGAACAGUUGGCAGACAAGGUCCUGGGUAUGGUGACGAAGAGCCUCAGCAACUACCACUUUGACUUCCAUGGUGCUAGAAUCAUCACUGGCCAAGAGGAAGGUGCCUAUGGCUGGAUUACUAUCAACUAUCUGCUGGGCAAAUUCACUCAGAAAUUGAGUUGGCUCAGCCUGAAGCCAAAUGGGGGCAAUUCUCAGGAAACCUAUGGAGCUUUAGACCUUGGGGGAGCUUCUACACAAAUCACUUUUGUGCCGGAAGACAAGGGGAUUGAGUCUCCAAGCAACGCUCUGUAUUUUCGCCUCUAUGGCAAGGACUACAGCGUGUACACGCACAGCUUCUUAUGCUAUGGGAAGGAUCAAGCGCUCAGGCAGAAACUGGCCAAGGACAUUCAGGGUACAAACGGAAUCCUCAAGGACCCAUGCUUUCACCCUGGAUACGAAACAGUAAUGAAUGUAAGUGAACUUUACAGUAGCCCCUGCACCAAGAGAUUUGAGAUGACUCUUCCAUUCGAUCAGUUUCAAAUCCAGGGCACUGGAAACUAUCAACAAUGCCAUCGAAGCAUCCUUGAACUCUUCAACACCAGUUACUGCCCAUACUCCCACUGUUCCUUCAAUGGGAUUUUCUUGCCACCACUUCAUGGGGAUUUUGGGGCAUUUUCAGCUUAUUACUAUGUGAUGGAGUUUUUAAACUUUACAUCAGAGGAAAUCCCCACUCAGGAAAAGGUGAUUGACACUAUGGAAAAGUUCUGCUCUCAACCUUGGAAAGAGCUGAAGACAUAUUUUGGUGACGUGAAGGAGAAGUACUUGAGUGAAUAUUGCUUUUCUGGAGCCUACAUCCUCUCUCUCCUUCUGAAUGGCUAUCAUUUCACAGCUGAUUCCUGGAAGAAUAUUCAUUUCAUGGGCAAGAUCCACAGUAGCAGUGUCGGAUGGACUCUGGGCUACAUGCUGAACCUGACCAACAUGAUCCCUGCUGAGCAGCCAUUGUCCACACCUCUCUCCCACUCCACAUAUGUCUUCCUCAUGGUUCUCUUCUCCCUGAUCCUGGUUGCAGUGGCCAUCAUAGGCUUGUUUAUCUUUCACAAGCCUUCAUAUUUCUGGAAAGACAUGGUAUAGCAGGAGCAGCUGCAAUCUGCUGGCUGGAGUGAGAAAAAAACUUGUCCAGGGAGAAGUUUCCUCCACAGUGGUGUACAAGGUCAUCCUUCCUUGCUCAUCAAGGCCAGUCUUGACCAGCAUGAAGCUUCCCUGGCUUUUGCAGCAGCCUUUCCAUGGGAGGUAUUCACCACCACCUGCCUCAAGGACUACCCGGCAGACUUCGUCUCUUUUAAAUUAGCUGGAGACAAGACCAUCCCUAGAAACACUGUCCCUCAGCAAGUUGGAAUUAUAAUCCACAAGUUUCCUUCAAUAAACAUGGAAAUCUUUUCUUUUCCA